This 29-nucleotide non-coding RNA is filed under the name Rattus norvegicus (Norway rat). The record is from RNAcentral. Lineage: Eukaryota; Metazoa; Chordata; Mammalia; Rodentia; Muridae.
UGACAGACCCAUGUCUUAGGUGCACAUGU